ACCAAGCUCCUGGAGUGCUGGUGAGGGGCGACAGAAAGAGAGAGGGGGGGGAGGAAGAAGAAAAGGAUGAGACAGGGAGGGAGAGAAAGAGAGAGACAGAGAGAUGAGUAGAGAAGAAAGAAAGAGGUAGAAAGUGAAUAAAGAGUGGAGAAUGCAAAGCAAGGAAAGUAAAAGAGUGAGAAGGGAAGGGGAGAAGGAGGAAGUGAAAGAGGAGGGAUACAGAGAGAAAGGGACAGACAGGAUGGAGGUGUAGGAUGGGAAGACAAAAGCGCUAAAAAGAAAGAGAUAGAGAGUCUGAUUAGGAAGGAGAGGAAGGAGUUUUGAGUGAUAGCGAACAUACUGUAGAUGAAAGCUUUCGAAGGAGUGGGAUGCUGAGAAGCAUCAGCGCUGUCAGAGCAUGUUCAGCCCUCAGGGACAGCCGGGGGGCGGCCGUCAGCCUUUAUUUGGAGAGCAGAGGGUUUUCUACACUACCUGCAGCCCUGGAAUCAGCUGACAGGUCAAGUCAUAGCGUGUGACCAGCUUGGCAUCAGAUCAUGGGCCUUGAAGUGACGGAGCAGAGGAAGAUGCUGUGUGCAAACUGCCCUCCAGUGGAGACAGUGUGUACUUCAUGCAUGCUGAUCUCUUGGCCUCCAGUCAGAGUUACUUAAUGUUAGCCAUCUCUACUACUCCUGCAGUCAGCUGUUUUAAUUGUAGCCUAAGCCAUGAGUAUACUGCAGAGGAAAGGUGAGUGUAUCUCUACUUUCAUUGCCAAUAUGGCAGAUCUCAUCCUAAAUGCUUCCAAUAAAAGGCCACUCCACUGUGUGCGCCGCCGUCUGAGAACAAAAAGGUAACAUGAACACUGAGGUGAUAUCUUGUCAGUGACUCGUUUCUGUCACGGGGUCACUGAAGAUGAACUUCCUUUCGCACUGCCUCUGCACUGUACUACAGUACUGUGGUGAGUGUGUGAGUGUUGAGUGUGAGUGGGUGGGGAGGGUCAGCUGGUGUUGUGAAUCAGGCCGCUGAAGUGUCAGACACGGCUUCUUCACAACACCAGGGUUCCUCCCCACCACUUCCUGCUGGGAUACAUGACACAUCUGCAACAUGACAGUAAUGUCUGUCAUCAGUAAUGUACAUCAGCAUGUGUGUGUGCUUUCAAUAAAUGCUGCUGUGGAAUUAAAGGUCGGACACCUGAAAUGAUCCUCCUGCAAAGAUAUGUGAUUUCUGGAAGGGAAUCGUGCACUUAUAAAUAAAAUAUAGUGUGUCCAAAACUGUUGUAAUUUUUUGGUGUGCAAGAAUAUUUGUGCUUCAUUCUAAAAAAAGGCUAUUGUUUUGCCAUUUGUUAUGCUAUAUUAUCUUUAAAUGUAUGUGGAGUGACCACACAUACCACCACAGAUGUGCUCAUUGUAUUUUCAUUUGUUUUAGAGAUUUCUUAAUAUGGAUAUCAGCUCAAAAGAGAAUAAAGGAAAAGACAGAUUUUGUACAAGUGGAUUUGUCUGACAGAUUGGAAAUAGGUGAGAAAAUCUUACUGCAUUGGACAGGCUUCUUUAAUUUCAACUAUUUAUACUGAAAUAAAUACAGAUUUGGUCAACACUUGAUGUAAACCCUAAUGCCUGAGUGAUUUAAAAUUAACAAUAAUGGAGUUGAUGCAGAUGCAUUUAUAUUCUAUGGGCUGAAUAAUGUAUGUUCUGACAUAAAAUGUUAAAAUAUUGUUGUAAUCAUUUGUCUUUGUGACACCAAUGAAUUAUUUGUACAUGUAUAUUUAAUACAUGUUUUAAAGAAGGAGAAGGUGUACAUAUACAGUACAUGAAAUACACAAGUUAUGGACGUUUAAUUAGAGAAGUUUGAUUUUUGGGGGGUGAACACUUUUAAGAAAUGUUCUUAAAUUUGUCUGUUUUUCAUCCCAUCUUAUUUUACACUAAAAUACAGACACUCAUUUCAGAAUAAACUUUGACAGUGAAAAGAAAAACUUGAUUGGGAACAAGCCGACUUAUCCUAAUUAAUUGUUUCUCUUGUUACAGUGUGAGAAUCACAUCUUUCAUGCCAAAUCUAAGACUAAAUCACUUGUUUAGAGGGUGUUUUUUUUUUUUUUUUUUUUACAUUCUAAUUUAACAGUGCCAGCUGUCAUGUUGAAUGUGAAACAUAUAGCUCAUGCAUGAGCCUGAUUAAGAUUUAGUUCUGGGUAGAAUGCUCUAGAAUCAGACAAUGACUGGACUCGAUCCAUACAUGCAUCGACUGCUGGCAGCAGAACCUCCACGUGUACAGUUAGCAUCCAUACAGGCCUUCAGACUUGGCUCUGGAUUAGGUCACUGUACGAGUAUUGAGUGAAUGUCUGAGUGGUGAAUAAACGGCUGAAGGAACAACA
Long non-coding RNA from Amphiprion ocellaris (clown anemonefish), 2341 nucleotides. RefSeq lists it as uncharacterized. The transcript is spliced from 3 exons. The record is from RefSeq and is a predicted model, not a curated record. NCBI's taxonomy places the organism in Eukaryota, Metazoa, Chordata, Actinopteri, Pomacentridae.